GACGAACGCUAGCUACAGGCUUAACACAUGCAAGUCGAGGGGAAACGUUGAGAGAGCUUGCUCUCUUAGGCGUCGACCGGCGCACGGUUGAGUAACGCGUAUCCAACCUACCCAUUACAGGGGGAUAACCUUGCGAAAGUAAGACUAAUACACCAUGGCCUCUUAUGGUGGCAUCAUUAUAGGAUUAAAGAUUUAUUGGUAAUGGAUGGGGAUGCGUCUGAUUAGCUUGUUGGCGGGGUAACGGCCCACCAAGGCAAUGAUCAGUAGGGGUUCUGAGAGGAAAGUCGCCCACAUUGGAACAGGGACACGGACCAAACUACUACGGGAGGCAGCAGAGAGGAAUGUUAGGCAGUGGGCGGGAACUUGAUGCAGCCAAGUAGCGUGCAAGAUAGCGACGCUGUGGGAAGUAAGCAGCUUUUAUAAGGGAAAAAAGUUAGCUACGGGUAGUUUAUUGCAUGUACCCUAUGAAUAAGGACCGGCUAAUUCCGUG
This 490-nucleotide ribosomal RNA is filed under the name uncultured bacterium. RNAcentral describes it as "partial 16S ribosomal RNA". It matches the Rfam family "Bacterial small subunit ribosomal RNA", at positions 28 to 507 of the family's 1533-position model. The record is from RNAcentral.